ACCUCAUUUCCCUUUACCUUAAGGAAAUAUGGGAACCCUUGAUCCACACAUACAUGCAUACACAAUCACACAUGAUCUGUAUCUUAAACCCUGUGAAUUUCAUGAAUCAACAAGCAAAUAUUAACCACGUACAAGCCAAGAUGAAGGUUUUAUUUGAAAAAUAUAACGACUGCAAAUCCAUUAAAUUUUGUUGGAAAAUCCUCCAUCUGUCGGAUUCAAUCAGGAAAAGGUAAUCUGCAAGACAAUUUCGGAGUGGCAUUCAGACUGCUGGUUAAUUUCCUGAAUACCAGGAGACUAUUUGACAUUGAUUUACACUCUACCAUGCAAGAAAAAUGAAUGUAACAAGCGAGCCUACCCAAGUGUAAGAAAAGAAGAAUAGUUGUCGUAGUCCUGACGAGGAUUUGCUGAGUUGCUGCUGAUAUUGUUCACCAUAGAAUCUGAUGACUGGCCUUGUUCGAGCAAAUGCCCUUGGCCCUUUGACAAACUCAUUAACUGCCGAAAAAUAUAUGAACUCAAAGUGAGAGGGAGUAACAAGAAGGAGCUGAAAAUUAAUAAUAGGUCUCAUAGUCUCACUCUCUGCUUCAAUCGCUGGUUCUCUUCUAUUAGUUGGUGCUCCUGCAAAUUAGCAAACAAGAAGGAAAAUUGAAUCACAGAGAGUACUGAUCAUGAAAAUCGUUUGAUUGUUCAAAACAACAUGGUAACCAUGCAUAUCAGUUCAUGCACAUCAUAUGGGGCUUCAUGUACAGUAAUUUUCACAAACUUUGCAUGAAUAUUUUAUUUUUUCUCAUUGUUAAAAGUAGUGAAGUGACCUUGGACUUGAGAGCAUCGACCUCCUUUAGAAUUUUUUCUCCCUGAAACACAUUGAAGUAGUUGAAACAUGUGUGUGAGGUAUUGAACAAAGUCUUCAGCGUAUAUAUACAGGACAGAACUAUCUACAAGAAUUAAGACAAGACAAGAGUGCUGCAUGAAUUACCUUUGUUUCUAUGACACGACACAAGCUUUUUUCAAUUAAUUUUUCUAAUUUUUCUAAUUCUUCCAUGUUCAGUCCCUGCAGGUCUUCUCCCCUUGUUCGCCUGUCAUCAGUGGAUCAUCAUAUGUAUCAGCAUUGCAAAUUGGAAUGUGAUCUAUUGCGGCAACAAGUUAUUGAUCCUGAGAUUUUACCUCAGUUCACGGGUUUUCUCUGCUAUUUCCUUGUUCAACAUGGCAUGCACAGCACUAUCAAGCUUAAAGGACAGAAACGAAUAUUGCCUUUAUUAAUACAUGACCAUGGUAUCUUAUGGAAUUUAUAAAGUUAGAUUCUUGAACCUAAUUCGAAGUGUUUGAGUGAAAGAAGAGGAAAAACAAUGUUACGAAAAGGUAGCCACGCACUUAUCAGAUAAUUUACUCACCAAUCCAAUAUUAAUCAGCAAGAGCGAAAAAGGAAUAUAUAUAUAAACAAUCUUGAUGGGGGUUUCAAAUUCAAUAUAACUUGAUAAGCUACAGUAUAAAAACUAAUUACCUGAAGCUCAACCGAUGGUUGACUAAAUGUGUCAAGGUUUUUGGGAUGCAGAUUACGCCUUUCUAUCACUUGCCCAAUGCUUCAAGAACAAAAGGUAGAGCAAAUCAUUUCUUGAAUUUUCAUGUCCAGGAAUAGGCAAAAACUAGCUAAAAACAGUGCCAAUGGUGGGAUGUUUCCAGGAUCACUUGUAAUUGCUAGCAGCUAUGAUUCUUCCCAAAAGGACUCACCAAGAUGUAAAGAAACAAUCAACCUGAGAGGAAGGGUAGAAAAUUUGCUGCUGCUAUGGCAACAGUAAACCUCUAGAAAAAAAUGCUGCUACUAUUACAACAACAAACCACAAAACCUAAAAAAGAUGGGCCUACCCAGAAAGUUGGCAAACCCUGACGAGCAAAACAAGAUCCAAACAGAAAAUGAAGAAGAUUGGACAGAUUUUCAACAGCAACAGUCAUUGCAUGAAAGCCACAAUAAAACCAGAAUUGCACCAGCAGAAAUUAAUAGGGACACAAAGUGCUAAGAUUCGCCAUUGAAGUUUUGAUAAAAAAACAGGAGGUAACUGAACACAAGACCAAACAGCAGCUAUGCAAAGACACAGAUGAAGAUUGCAGGAGCCAGAAAGCAGAAGAAUCUGAGAAAGGAUGACCUAACAACAGCAAAAAGGAGACAGAAACAGCAGAAACCAAGAAGCAGCAAUAACUAGCCAUAAAAUGUCAGGAGAAAGAAGUAGAAUCCAUGAUCUCUCGACAUACACACACCAAAACACCCUAAUUUAUAAAUCUUAAAACAACCAAAUUAUAUGAUGAAUUGAUAAAACCUUUUGUUUGAUAGAGAAUACAUCACUGAUAUUGGCUAAAACCUUUACGAGCAGCCUCCAAUCACAAUUGUUUCCCAGGUACCAAAUAUUCAAUAAACCCUAAUGUCAAAGAGAACACCAAUAACAAACCCUAUAUAUACAUACAAAGAAGCUUAGGGUGAUAACUUGAUUUAACAAUAACGAACCCUAAUAUCAUAUUGGUCACUAGAGAACUAUCCUUAUCAUUACAAAGAUUUAUUACCCUAUCAAAAGCUCAAAUAAUGUUAUACUAAUCUAGACCUGUUUAAAUGAAGAAAUGUAUAAUAUUAAAAUCUAGAUCUAUAUAAAGUAACAUCAGGAAGAUCAAAGAUGGUAUUGUAUCAACAAAACUAUAGGAAACACUUCUAUAUCAUGCGGUUUUCUAUGAUCUUAAGUUACUUAAAUCUUAAACAAUUUGGAACAGUAGAAUAACAAGAGGAUCUAAUCACAAAAGAAUCUCAAGAACAAAAGCUAGAAAAAUCCAAAAAUUAUUGCAUUAGGCGAGAAAUCAUCCUUUUCAUCGCAAAGCAAAGUAUUUAAUAGUAUACCCGAAUAUCCAAGAAGAUAAUCCUAUACUUAUGUAUAGUAAGAAUUGUGUAUCUGGUAGCUUAGUGAAGCAGCUUUUCAAGUGUCAGUAAUUCUAAUUUAUGUGGUUAUUAUUAUGUAAUUGGAGAUGAAUAUUCAUUGUAUAGCCUAAGACUCCAUAGACCUCUCGAUGAACCAAAAGAGAAAGAAAGAAAGAAAAUUCUAUUUUAUUACAAACUAGUGUUCUUGUGCAACUCGUGCCUACAAAGAUUAAAUCCACUUUCUUCUUAAAAACUAAACCUCUUUUAUAUUAAACUAGAAUAUUCAUGAGAAAUCACAUAUCUUUGCAUCCCAAUUGACAAUAUGGGUGUAGGAGUGGAGAUGGAGUUUGGUAGGAUAAUGAGAUCUCAAAGUUCGUCGACAACCAAGCUCAACUUAAGGUGAUUCUAAAUCUUACUUACGGUAUAAGUACUUCUAAUCUUAUUUAUAAAAAUAGGAUAUUUUCUGUCAUGUAGUAUCUAAAUUAUGUAUGUCAUUUUAUUUUUAAGUUUUUGUCAAAAUUAAUUGUUUAUAAAAUUAAGAAAAUGUAGGCUUCUCUUUGUUUACUUUCUUCCUUCAAAAGCUAGGGUUUGUAUGAUUUCUAUUGCAAUCUCUAUUAUAAAAAAAAUAAAAUUAAUUAGGAUGUUUGUAGUGUUAUUUCAUUUUCUAAUAUUUUAUAAGUCAAUAUUAACCUUCAAGCAAUAUCCUUUUACAUGACCAAUUGUCUAUGCUAUUCGAGUAAAUAAACGGGUCUUGCAUAUCUUUCACAAUCCAACAUAUUAUUAUUAUUUGAUGAAAUUAUACAUAUAUAAAUAAAAGAAGUAAGCUAGUUAAAAGAUUUACACUAUUUAAUUAAACAAAAAUAAAAAAAUCAAUACAUCAAAGUGUUUCAAUCACUAGGUAAGGAUUUUAUUUAAAAGGUUGAUAUAAAAAAGAAGCAUUUGAACACGUGAUUCACGACCAUCCUAUAUAAGCAUUAGAAAAAAAAAAGAAGAAGAAUGUCACUAGUAUAUCAAGAACAAGCAACUAGCUUGCUUACAUUUUUAAUCUAUUAAAAAAAAACAAGAAAAUCUUUGGAUAAGUUAUAAUGUUUUGAAAAGGGUUUUCUAUUUAUUAUUUUGAUUUCUACAUUUAAAUUUCUUAUUAUCAGAAUUUUUUUUAGGGUUUAUAAUGUACUCACAAACUAGAAUAAAAAUCAUUUUAUCCGAUUCCUAUUAUUUUUUAUCAAGUUUCAUUAAUUACAAGAUAUUAUAGAUAACUUGGGCAACUAGCAUAUUGUUAAGUUAAUUUAAUAUUUUUAGAUUAAUUGAGAUACACAUGUAUUGAGUUUAUAUUAACUAGAUGAUGUUUAAACUUUCUUUUAUGUUAUUUGAUGUUUAAAACUUUGAAUUUUUUAAACAAAGCUUUAUAUAACAUCAAAAAUAUUUAUGAUAUUAGUUGGUUGUUUAUGUAACUAAAAAAUUCUUUAUUAUGAAAAAAUAAGUUUAAAACUAUCUUAUAUAAAAAAUUACAAUUCUAAUUUGACAAAACAAACUCCGGGAAAUUGACCCCUUUUCUCAUUUAUAUAUGUCUAGGCAUGGUUUAACAAAGUACUCACGGAAUAGGUUAAUUUGGAAAUAAAUAAAAAAAGUAAUGUAACAUUUAGUAUAAAAAUAAAAUCUUCUAUAAGUAAACUUUGAAGUUAAAAUGAAUAAAAAUGUAUUAAUAAAUAAAAAUCUAAUCAAUUUGCAUUCUUUAUCUCGAUUCUAAUUAAAGAAUAUAAUAAACAAAAUAUUAUAAAGCACCAACCAAUUUUAUUCGGAUAUGAGCAAUAUAAUAAAUUUAUUAUUAAAUAGUUGCAAUAAUAAUAAUAAUAAAAAGCCUAACACAACACACUUGAGGGUCAAAAAGGCAUUAAUUGUGUAUAACUUUCACCAAUAAAGAACCUACCAGCAUUUCUACCUAAAUAUUGGAAAUUUAGUAUAAAUGCCAAUAAACAUGCACAUUAAUCACAAUUAUUUAAAACGCCAUGAUUAUUAUGAUCUAAAGGGAGAAUGAUUUAUAUAUAUAAAUACCUUGUUAUACUUAAUUUUCAUAUAAAAUAUUAAUGAGUGAAUAUUGUCAUAUUUAUUUUACAUGAGAAGUUUGUAUGGAACUAAUCCAUCAUUAGUUCCAUAUGGUUAAUAAAAAUUAAAUAUUUAAACUUAAUAAAAUUACGAAGCAUUGAUAAUUUUAUUUUGUUUUAAAUAUUUUCAAAAAUCUUUUAAAUUCUACAAAAUUAUUAAAUGAUGAGAAAUUUUUAUUAAACAAGUUAGUUUUUUUAGUUAUCCUUGGCCUAUGCAUUCCUUUAGAGAAAACUUCACUUCUAGACAUAGUUGGCUUAAAUUAAGGGUCACAAAAUUAUAUUCGUCAAUUAUACUUUAUGAAGUGAAGAUUGUCCCUACUUAACAAAAGACUUGGAGUACAAAAUAUUGCCCAGGGCUUCACUUGUCAGACAUACAUAAAAAAUAUUAAUAAAUAAGUAUUUUAAAAUACUUCAUUUAUAGUUUUAUUCAAGGUCCCUAUUCACCUUAAUUCGGCUUUGCUUUUAAACCCUAAUGUAUUAUCUAAUAAUCAAUUGCAUUUUGAAACCUUUUUUUUUUUUUUUUAUCAAUUAUGCCAUUAAAGCAUCCAAAAUUAGACAAUGUUAUCAUUCAACCUUCUGGUAUUAAUAGCAAUUAAAAGAAUUUAUCCAAUUUGCAUAUAUUUGUUAGGUGUUUCCAUCCAAGAAGCUAAAAUAAGCUCAAAUCGUUUUUAAUGGACAAUCAGAGUAAACUUUAUCCGAUUUUGCUUAUAUAAAGUUCAAAGUACUGAAUUGCUAUGAAAUUAAAGUUCAAUUUGAUUUAAAAUUCAAGAUAAUUUUCGAUAAUUUAACCAAUCUAGAAAAAAGAAAUAAAUGAAGUGAUAAGUAUUUCUAGGCUGAAAAGGAUACUCUAAAUCAUUCUCAGUGCUAAACAUCCUGCAUCAACAAAAAAUAAAUAAGUAAUCAUAAAAAUAAUUAAAAAAAAUUAAAAAAAUGUUAUAUCAUGUGAUGGUCCGCGAUAAAUAGCGCUAAAAAUAAAGGUUAUCAAAUAUAAAUCUUGCAAGAACACAAAAAUAAAUAAAUAAAUCAUUGUUGAUACUAAACAUCUUGCAGGAAAAAACACUAAAAAAUCAUAAAAAUAAAAAAAUAAGAUGUUAUUUCAUAUGAUGCUCCCUUUGCUAUAAAUGGUGUUGAAAAUAAAAGUUAUCAAAUAUAAAUCUAAUUAUCAUCUUGGGUGUAACUUGAAUUACUGAAUUAGGCAAGACCAGAGCAUAAUUUCAAGUCAUAAUUUUUUAUAUAAGAUAGUUUUAAAUUUAUUUUCCAGAAUAAGGUAUUUUUAGUCAUAUAAACCAACCAAUAUGAUCAAAACAUUUGAUGCCACAUAAACCAUAGUUUAAAUAAUUCCAAGUAUUAAACAUCAAGUAAUAGACAAGAAAGUUUUAAACAACAUCUAGUUAAAAUAAAUCUACUAUGUAUAAGCAUCUCAAUUAAUCCAAAAAAUAUUAAAUGAACUUGGCAAGAUGUUAGUUGCUCAAAUCAUAUACAACUUCUUAUAAUUAAUGAAACUUGAUAAAAAAAAAAUAGAAAUUGUAUAAAAUUAUUUUUUAUUUUGGCUUAUGAAUAUAUUAUGAGUUCUAAAAAGUUCUAAUAACAAGAAAAUUUAGAUGUAGAGAUCAUAUAUACAAUAAAGAAUAACAAAUGGAAAACCCUUUUCAAAACACUUUAUCUAAAAAGUUGUUUUUUUUUUUUUUAUAUAUAUAUAGAAAAUAAAGACUAAAAAUGUAAACAUAGUAGUUGCCAAUUCUUGAUAUAUAUACUAGUAACAUUUUUUUUCCUAACGCUUAUAUAGAGUGGUCAUGAACAUAAUCACGAGUUUGAAUGAUUGUUUAUAGCAACUUUUUAGAUAAAUUAAGUUUUUAUCCAGCGGUCCAAACACUUUGUUAUAUUAACUUUUUAUUUUUGUUUAAUUAAGCAGUGUAUCUUUUAACUAGCAUCAAAUAGAUUUGAUAAAUAAGAUUAGAAGUAAUCUGAUAAAUAAGAUUUGUUAAUUUAAGAGAAUAAACUUCAUUUUCUCCUUUAUUUUUUCUUAAAUUCAUAAUAAUAUCUUGUAAUACUUAGAAGUAACAGUAAAGCCCAAGACUUUCCUUUUUCUUAAAUAAUAUAAUUUCAAUGAUAAUCCUUACACUUGGAAAUUAAAUUUCUAUAAACAUAUGUAAAGUUUGUUUAGAUCUUAAAACCAGAUUCAUCAGUAAUAUCACCAUAUGAUGGGAGCAGGAGAUUGAAUGUAAGUGAACCAGCAGGAAAUUAAUCACAUCCAGCUGGUAAUUUAUUUUUAACCUAUUGUGUCAAGAACGUACUUGCAUAUAUUCAACUUUGUCUUACAAUUUCUAUUGCAAUAUGUCAAUGUGUUUAUCAUGAAGGAUGCAUUAUCAACCACCUUUAUAGUAAAAGCAAAUUUUGAGCAAAACACAUUUUUAUUCUGCAGGGACGUAAAAAUACUGUACGCAGAACAUAUUAAGAAACAAGAUGCUCUGAAAGAACGUGGUUUUUUCUUCAUCAGGGCUAUGGUUGUAUACUGGUUUUACCUUCCCUCUCAGUGUUGUUAAUGAGCCUAUGUGAUGAAUGAUUCAUUUUCGACUCUAUACAUUACUCUUCUAGGGUUUAUGACGGUCAUAGUUGAUGUUGCUCUGUGAUUUGAAGAGAUGAAAACGAUAUGUAAAUAUUGAAAAAGAAAACACAUUAAUUUUAAUACAUGAUUAUCAAUUAGCAAAUGGGACUUCAUUUAAUUGGAUGGAUUAUAGAGUGGCGAGCAGUCUUGUUAUUAUUUCCCAGUGCUAGAUAACUUCCCUUUUAGGUUAAAGUUUCUUCUUUUAUUACAAAAACUCGACCCUGAGACCUCUUGAGGCAGGAGGAACAUGGGUGCAUUUGAGCUACCAAUUCAAGGGGUUUUUUUUUUCUUUGUUAUAAACAAGAGGUUGAAACUCAAUAUUUUUUUGUGAAGAAGAUAGAACUCUAGCACCAGUACAGUUGAAAUUAAACAUUGCAAGAAAAGAAGAAACCUAUAUAUGCUUCUUCUUCUUCUUCUUCUUCUUAAUUUGUUUCCUUAAUAAAUGCUGGCUGCAGUUGACCUUAUGAUCAUAUAGAUUUCCUAAGAGUAAGUAGGACUAAAGCUAGGCUCUCCCAAACCAGUCAACAGAUGAUCAUUUGUUCUUGUAACUAAAUGCUGGGAGAAGGAGAAGAAAAGGCAGUGUCUAGGGUUAAUGUAAGCAAGUGACCACUCUUUGCACAGAUGAUGAGCUAUUGAUGCUAGAUGAUCAAUUCAAUACCAGUUAGGUUACUAUUUACUAAGUGACAGAAGACUGUCUAUUGAUGUUAAGACAAGGUUUUUUUUUUUAUUUCGAUUUUGAUUUUCUUCCCUGCAAACCUUACAUGUAAUUAACACUAUGAUACAAGUCACUUCAACUUAAGAGCUCACACAUCAUUUCGGAGCAAUUGUAAUCAAUGGUCUGUACAAAGAAUAGAUUCAGGUUGUACUAUUAGCUAGGGGUAUUGAGGUUUCAUAUUUUGCCCUUGAGUUUUCUAGGGUAUGAAGGCCUUGCAUUGUGUAGUUGCCCUAUAUUUUAUGAGCACAUCCUUAGACUAGGUAGUGUUUCUGGGGGCAUAGAGGGUAGCAAAUCCAACUUAAUAAAAGUAGUGGCUUUGAUCUCUAAUCGCAGAAGUGCAAGUCUUUCUGGUUCAAAAUAGACAUUAUAAGCGUACAAGAGAAGCCAUUAAAACAAGCCUGUUUGUUUUUGCGGCGACAAUACAUUCGUUGUAGACCGCAAUAAAAACAUUAAAUUGAGAUUUUACUACAGUGCACCAAGCGGUACACUAGAGAAACAAGCAUACCCUAGACCACAAGCAAUUCAAGUUUCAACACCAGCAUUAAGAAAGACACAAGUGGACGUGUGAUGCCCUUAAAAAAGGAUUUGAACUAGCAAUAAGUGGCAGCAAUAACAUCAAAACCUUCGUAUCAGUACCAACUUCUCCCUAUGCUCCUCUCCUCGAAAAAAUAUUAUUUUGCUCGCAGAUACCAAAAGAUUCUCUAUUGCACAUCUAUUUCAGCCAUUCUCUUCUUUUUUCAACUUUGUUGGGUUCAAAAGAAACCGUUGUUAAUGCAUCCUAGGUUGAUCAUUGAGCUCACAGAUGACAUAAUAUUUAUGGUAUAUCAUAAAGUGGAAAAUAAUAAGAAAGAGAAAGGGAGCAGAACCUUGAGUUUGAGUACUCAAAAAACUUUCCAGUUGCAGAAAACACCAUGAGAGCAAUCUCAGCGUCACAUAGAAUUGAGAGCUCGAAAGCUUUCUUGAAGAGCCCUCUUCUCCUCUUUGAGAAACUGACUUGCCUUGCACUUGUGUUGUCUAUCUUCUUGAUCUGGAUUUUCUUGCGAGCCAUCUUCCCCAAGAAACAAAUUCAGCUCACCCUUCAUGCAAAAUCAACCAAGAUAAUUAAGCACAUACUGCUAAAAAUAAAAUUUCUAAGAGAAAGAGAUUUAGACCUAAUGGUAUAUCUCAUUAAUGGAGGGCCUUAUCAAUGUUUACAGAGAGAAAAAUCAAAUACCCUUGACAUAAAAUGAGAAAAGGCAUGCAUCAAACAACCUCAACAAGUAUAUUUACAAGCAAAUCAAAUUUUUUUUACUUACAUCCACGCAAACGUAUUAUAUUUUUUAAAAUAAAAUAUAAACAGAUUUUUUUACAAACAAGAAGAAGAAGAUAGAAUGUUCAAAAAAAGAAAAAAAAGAAAAAAAGAAAAUCUAGCCACUACCUUUACCUUAAAACGUACAUCAAUUGAAUCGUUGGAGUGACAUUAAUGAAUAAUACUACUGGAUCAUGAUAGCAAGAAAUCAAGAACAGAUCUUUAAUUACAGGAAAUUAUCAAGCCGCCAUCAACCACAAAAGAAAGGGGGGAAAAGUACAAUCACAACACAGCCAAAUUUACUAAGAGGAUUUACAUGUACAUGGAAAAUUAACAAAAGAAAAUCAACUCGCUUUAAUAAAAGCGAAGGGAAAAUUUAGUAAAAGAAACUAAAGAAAAAAUAAUUAGUACAGCACCGAGCAUUUCUGUAAAUAGAAAUGUAGAGAAGCUGACUCAGUGAUAAAACAAGGGAAAAAAAAGAGAGAAGAGAAAAGUUUUGCCAGAUUAAGCCAAGAAUCUUGAACAAUCUAAAACAACCCUAGCUGGUAAUGCCAAGAACUCAAGCUGACACUGAAGUUUGUAAGAAAUGAGUGAGCUUGCAAGGAUUGGUAAGAAAUCUUUGGUUUCAGUUCUUCUUACCUAUUUCUAUGUUGUCUUUCUUCUGGUGCUGUUUACACCUCACAGAAAACCAAAGUCAAGUCCACCAGUGAUGUUUAGAGAUAGAAAAGGAAAAGGAGGCUAACAGAGAGAUCUUCUUAACCUUGGUUGCAGGAAAAGAAAGAUACCUUUUAUGGCCAAGCAAGAAGUCACACUGUGCAAUUCUCUCCAAAUGGUUAAGCAGAAAAAAGGCUCAAAGGAGAAUGUAAGGAGAUAUAAAACUAUAUCUUUCUUCUUCUUUUUUGGAUUUUGUAGCUAUUUCCAUUUGAGUAAAGCACUAAUAAAGUGAAAAUAUUUAAACGGGACUUUAUUUAUUUAUUUAUUUUUAUGGUGAGAUUUGCUUUCCGUACAGAUAUAGCGUCUCUUCAGCACUGCUUCGCUGGUUAGAUUUAACACUAACAGUCUAACACCACCGCCUCUGUUCCCUCGUACUAAUAGCGUCACGUCAGUUUAUCUUUUAGGUAGGAAGAACAAAUUAAGCUCUCUCUCUCUCUCUCUCUCUCUCUCUCUCUCUCCUUAAAUAAUAUGUAUACCAUUCUCUUUUAUAUUUUAUGAUACUGAAUGAUAAUUAUUGGAUAUUUAAGAGUUAUAGAUAAAAAAAAAAGUGAAAAAAAUCAUAUAUGAUCUAAUUAAAAAAUAAUAUAAAAUUUCUUUUUAUUAUUUUUUUCUUUUAUUUUUCUUUUUCAUAUAUAUAUAUGAUGAAUGCUAUAAUUUUUUUUAUUGCUAUAAUCUACUACCUUCAAUGAAUUUAAAAAUAUUAUAUUUAUUUUCACGUAUUACUAGUUUAAUUAUUUUUAUAAAUUUUAGAAUUAUUAAAAAUUUAUAUAAUUAUUAAUUUUAGAAUCUAUAAAAUUAGUGAAAUAACCCGAAUAUAUAUGUUAAUAAAAAAAAUUGUACUCCCUAUGUAUCGUAUUUAUUAUCCCUCCACAUUGAAUUCCAAAAGUAGUAAUUUUAAUUGACUUUUUCUAAUUAGUUUUAAUGUUUAAAAAAUUCAGAAAUUUUCUUAAGAGUUUUCAAGUUUCCAUUUCUUAUAAAGGCAGAAAUUACUCAAAAAUAUAUUAUAUUUAUUGAUAUUUGAAAAGUCGAAAUGGCUGAUAAAUGGCUGGAGCAUGGAAUUUUAUUAUCAAUUUAUUUACGUGAAAUACUUAUCUAAUAUUUUAAAUUUAUUCAGAGUUAAAUUUAUUACGGCAUAUACAGACAUGGUAUUUUAUAAAUAGAUAUGAAAAAAAUAUUUUAAAAUAUAAAAAAGCUUGAAUUAAUAAAAAGAGAGUCGAUGUUACUUAGUUGUUAAUUAAAUUCACACAAAAAAUUAUCAAAUUAAUGUUUGUUAUGGUUUUAAUGUUCCGAAGUUAAAUAUUAAAAAUAUAUUAAAAAUAUAUUUUUUUUAUAUUUUUAAUUGAAAAACAUUUUUAUAAAAGCAUAUUGCACCGCAUUACGAAGCAUAUACUAAGAGCCUGAUUGUUUUGUGUUUUAAAAAUAUUUUUUAAAAUAUUUAAUUUUUUUUGUUUUUUUCUUGUUUCAAAUUAAUAUUUCAAAGUGUUUUCAUAUUUUAAUGUCAAAAAUAAAUUUUAAAAAAUAAAAAAAAAUAUUAUUUUAAUAUAUUUUUAAAUAAAAAGCACUUCUACUACAGUACCAAAUAGAAUCUAAAUAGAAAGUAACAACCUAUACACUCCUUAAAGAAUUAGUAUCCAACCUUUAAGAUGUUGUUAAUGAGUCCAGUUGGUUUUAUUUUACUACAAUCGUGUAAUGUAACAUGGGAUUAAAUUGAUGGAUUGAGGAUAAUAAAGAAACGAUUAUAGAAUGAAGGGAUUCCAUGCAAGGACUGGGAAGAUUUAUAAACAUUGCAAAAUAAUAAUUAUUUUAUUUAUUAAUAUAGGUGUUCGGUCCAGUUUAUACGCAUCUCAACUAAUUCUAUAAAUUCUGAAAUUAAUAACAAUGUAAACCUCAGUAGUUAUAUUUGAAUGGACAAUUGCAACAUAUUCAAUCUCAAUUGAGAAUAUUACUGACCAUAAAAGAAAAAAAAAAGAGAAAUAAAAUAAAUAUGGUUCUAAAGAGCUUAAAUUUUGAGUUUGAGUAUGAUCGUUAAUCGGUAACCAAACUGAUGUAGUGUAAUUAAACUUCAAAUAAAGAUUAAUCACCAUCGCAAUACUGUAAAAACUUGUGAAUUUACAAAUCCAAAUUACUAAAAUAUUAUUUUAAUCAAAACCCAAUUUUUAAUUACUGUUACUAUUAUUAACUAUUACUGUUAAUACCGCUAAUAAUACUAAAAGAUCUGGGGUUGGUCACUGUUCAUAAUAUAUAUAGUGCUUUUUAAAAAGAAAAUUUCUCUUUAAUUUUUUUUUAUAAUUUUAUCCAUGUUAAAUUAGCAUGAUUCUUUAUAUUAAGAUUAAAGGGAUAUUUUUAUUAUGAAUUGAAGUUCAAUUUUACAGAAUAAAACUGUAUUUAUAAUAGAAAAAAAAUAUAAAAAUUAAAAAAUUAAAUACAUUGUUCGAGAUAAAAUAUGUGUGUGUAUUAUUUCGAGGGAAAUUUUAUAAUGCUCUAAUGAUAAAUAUUUGAUAUUAAAGAGUUAUAGAUUAAAAAAAGUGAAAGAAAUCAUAUAUGAUCCCAUUAAAAAAUGAUAAAAAAUUAUUAAUUAAUUUUAAUUUUAAUUUUUCUCUUUGAUUUUUCUUUUUUCAUAUAUAUAUCUCUCUUAUAUAUUGGUGAAUACUAUAAUUUUUUGGGUGAUUGUUAUAGCCAACUACCUUUAAUAGAUUUAAAAAUAUUGUACUCCCUGUGCACCAUGCAUAUUUAUGACCCUCUAUCGAAUUUGAAAAGUCAACAGAUUCUAACUUUGAUGGACUCUUUUAAUUAGUUUUAAUGUUUGAAAAAUUAAGAUUUUUUUUUAAAAAAAAAUACAAGUUUCUAUUUAUUAUAAAGGAGAAAAAAUAUUCAAAAAUAUAUUACAUUUAUUGACCUUUGAAAAGUCAAAAUGGCUGAUAUCAUUUUGUUUAGCCCUCAAACAUUUUCAUUCGUAAUUUUAUCCACCUAGAUUAAAUAUGCAUAGUUCUUAUGUUAAGAUUUUUUUAAUUUGUAUUUUAUCACAGAGACAAAUAAAACUUUAUUUGUAGUAAAAAUAAAAAUUAGAAGAAAAUGAUCAAAAUUAAUAAUAAUAAAAAAGAAACAUAUAUGAUUUUGAUAUUGUCUUGUAAAAGUUAAAUAUGCUCCAAAUAAUUUUCAGUUUUCAAUGUUGUGUUGUCCCUGAUUGUAGAAUUUCACAUUUCAAUCUCAAUCUUCAUUUGUUUUUCGUUUUUAAAAAUGUUUUUUAUUUUAAAAUAUAUUAAAACAUUUUUUUUUAUUUUUAAUCUCAACACAUAGAAUUAUUAAAAAAUACUAAAAAUAUAUUAAAUUAAUAAUUUUUUAAAAUAAAUACAUUUUUAAACACACAUUAUCAUUGAAUGGGCUCUUAAUUGGGCCACCCUCUUUUCAUUCAAUAUUACUUUUUUUUAUCUAAGGAUUUUGCCGCUUAUAGUAUAUUUUAAUUGCAUAUAUGUUAUUCAGGUUUUUACUAUAUUGAUACACAUAUUUAUAUUUAAAAUAGAUAUUUAUGUUAUAUCCAUUAUUUAUUAAAUAAGAAAUUUAAUUAUUCAUGCAUUACUGAUAAAACUUUGGGUAAUGAAUACUUAUUACUUAGAUUAUAUAUAUAAAACUUUGGGGGAGGAAAUUAGUGUUGCUAGAGAAUAACUUUUUUAUUAUGGUUAUGGUGCUAAAGAAUAACUUAAAAAAAAAAAAAUCAAAAGAUUUGAGUCUCCGUUUUAACUCAGGUUGGAAGCAAGGCUGAAAGUUAAGAUUAUUUUAAAAGAAUUUUUAUUGGUGAUUCAUGUGAAUUUGUUAUGAAGUAAUUUGCGACAACUCAAUCUUUAAAAAAUCAUUCAAUAUCAAUAUAUGUGUUGGGGUUAGAUUUAGAUUGGGUUUUAGGUUGAAUUUAUUGAUAUUAUUAUCUUAUCGGAUAAGAAUUUUAGAUAUUUAUAUUAACCUAAAAUAAUAAUUAUUUUAAAAAAAUAUUACUCAUUUAGAUUUAUUUGGAUUUGGAUUAAAAUUGUCAUUCCAAAAUAUCAAGUAAAUAUGCACUCCUGAAAUAUGUUUCUUUAAAAUCAUUUGAAAAUAAAAUUUAAUUUUAAUUAACAUAUAUUCAAGCUUCAAGAAAUCAUGUAUCAAACUAAAAAAAAAAAAAGCAUGUUUGCAUGCUAAAAUAUAUGUUUCGAUGUAAAAUACAUUAAUGUGGAUUUGCUGCCUACGUACAAUAUAGAUUUUUAAGGGUGAUUUCUCAUAAAUUUUCUAUUUCUAAAUAUUAAUGGUUAUUAUUUUUUUAUUGCUCGAAAAAGAUGAACCUAAUGUCAUUGUUGAAAGCAGACAAAAACUUUCCGACUUGUGUAGAAGUAAAGAUUUUCUUGGUUCACCACAGAAUAAAAGAAAUCAAAGAAAACUUUCCGACUCUCAUUUAAAUAUUUUUAUACCUAGUUAAGGUCAUUGCUAAGUAACUUGAAAUUAUUAUCGGAUAGAAGUUGGGGUUGGAGGAGUUUGAUGAGUGAAUCCGAGAAGUUGAUGUUAAAUUACGUUUGGGAUCAUGUAUAAAAUGUUUUUUAAUUAAAAAUAUAUUCAAAUAAUAUUUUUUAAAAAUUUUAUUUUUAACAUCAACAUAUUAAAACUAUAAAAAAAUUUAAAACAAAUCAAUUUGAUAUUUUUUUCAAGUAAAAAACACUUUAAAACACAAGUUAAACCAUAAGGUAUGAAGAUUUUAUUGUCAAAUCAGUUGUUAAGUGAAAAUGAAUAGUUCAUCAAGUGAAUACUAUUUGAGUUUGAAAUUUGUUUAUAUAUACGCCACACUAUAUUGUGUUUAAAUUUUUAUUAAUUAGAAUGAAAAUAAUAAAAUUUAAACUUGUAACUACUUGGUCAAUAAAAUUCUAAUAUUAUUUCAAAAAACUAUUUUAAUCAAAUAACUUAACUUGUUAUGUGAAAUCUCAAGAAUUAUUUUACAUUACUCUAAUGUUUUCAAGACUAGUACAUGUUGGUUUGUAAAUAAUUUGUGGUUUACUUUUUUUUUUAAAUAUUGUUUUUGUUUUGGGGUAACAGUGUUUUUUUUUUGUUUUAUUUAUAAUGAACGAUGAUGAUGGUGUUGGUGUUAUUGAUGUUUUUUAUUUUAAUUGAUAAUUUGUAUUAAAUGUAAUUUUUCUUUGUAUAGUUAAUGGUGCAAUGUUAUUGUUAAAUAUGUUGUUUUACAUAAUUAUAAGUUUUUUUUUUACGUUAUUUUUAUACUUAGUUACGAUGAUUGCUAAGUGACUUCAAAUUAUUAUCAUAUAGAAGUUGGGGUUGGAGGAGUUUGACGAGUACAUUCAAGUAAAUGAUGUUAAGUGUAUGUUUGAUAAUGCAUAUAAGAUAUUUUUCAAGAAUUGUUUAAUUAAAAAUAUAUUUAAAUAAUAGUUUUUAGAUUUUUUUUUUAAUAUCACCAUAUUAAAACCAUAAAAAAAUAUGAAUGUUAUUGUUAAAUAUGUGGUUUUUACAUAAAUUUAGGGUGAAAUAUAUUAUAAGAAAUUUUUUUUUAGCUAUUUUUUUUGCCUGCAUUUAAGGAAUACUUUGUAAAUAUGGGAUUUGUGGAAGAUUUUGAAGAAGUUGUUUAAGUUUAUCAAGCAUUUGGGAUGAACUGUACAGGUUUUGCUUGUUCUCUUUAUAAGAAAAAAAAAAGAAUAAAAAAGUGGGAAAAUAACAGUUUAUUUGGUCCCUCAAAUUUGUACUUUGACCAUCUUGAUCCUGCAAUCUUGUAUAUUAAAAUUAUGAGCACACCGAAUCUUGUUAAAUGCCGAUGAAAGUCAACAUAAUAUUUCUUUUUUUUUUCUCAGUUGAUGUAUAAAUUAGCUUAAGAAUUUUAUUAGCUUUGAAAAAAUAUUUAAUUUUUUUUGUUGCAUCAAACGGUGUGAUUGCAAAAAGAAUAGUCGGGUUUUCAUUAAAACAAAUUAAAUCCAUCAAACCCCUUUUUUCCAUUAAAACCAACCAUUGAUAAAAGUUGAUUAUGUUUAAUUUAAUAAUAUUUUCUUUAAAAAAAAAGAAAUACAUUUUUUUUUAUAGUAAACAAGUGAAUUAUAUAUUAAACAGCCCCAUCAAGUAGGUGGAACUGAACGAAAGAUAAAAUACAAUGGGAAUAUAAAAGAAUAGAGAAGACCAAAGCGACGAGGGAUCUAAUUAAUUAGUCCAGUUCAUAAUACAUUCAGGAUUUCUAAAAAGAUCUGAGCCUGUGUAGUUGAAAUUUCUAACUGAAGACUUCAACCAGAAGGCCAAACGGUGAAAGGUGAGAUCAAAAAUCAUAUCCCAAUCCGGAGGCUUGGAUUCGAAGAUUAGGCGGUUGCGCGCUAUCCAAAUUGACCAGUACAGACCUUUGCAGAGGAGGGUAAUAGCACGUCGCUGAAAUUUUCCAUUAAUCAAACCUGACCAUUCAUGUAGAUUUUGAUAUGGGUCUUUGUGCAGACAACCUGAGCACCCGAACCAGUUCAAGAAACGACCCCAAAGAGACCAUGUUAUAGGACACCAAUGGAAGAGAUGAUAAAUUGUCUCAGUUUCCUUGCAGCAGAAUGGGCAGUGAGAUUCCUCAUAAUUAAUGAUUCUCCUCUCAGCUAAAAAACUUUGUGUACUCAAACUUCCAUGAAGAAGAAGCCAUAUGAACACAUCCACUUUUGGAGGGGCAUAACCAUUCCAUAGCAAAACAGGGGAGUGAUUAUUUUCAGUGGCCGAUAGACUAUAAAAAAGAACUCAACCUGAUUGAGCUGAGUACAUGCCAGAGCUGUGAAAUUUCCAUAACUUGCGGUCUGCACCAUCCGAGAAAAUAAGGCCACGCUGCACCUCUGCGAUCAAGCUCUCCCUCAUGCAGUUUUCACGAGGCCGAAGGGGUCUUCUCCAGGAUAGGUUGAAAGAUGUAUCUGUCAAAUUAUAUAUAUCUGCAAGGCUGGAUUUUUGCUGCAGAGAGAGGUUAUACAGUCUGGGGAAUAAGAGUUGGAGAGUGGUUACAGAGCCAAGCCGAGUCAGUCCAAAACCGGAUGUUCCUCCCAUCACCCACCUUGAACCUGACAUUUGCAUGUAAAAGAUUGGCUAUGUUUUGUGUUGAGAGGAUCGCCGAAACAAUGCCAUGCCAAGUUGGAGAUAAAGAACCUGUAAACUCAGGGAUACCGUUAAUAAAGUGAGGUCGGUAUUUUAGAAGAAUGUGUUCUUGCCAGCCUCCUACCACUCCAUUAUCCAAAUUCCAUAGCUAUUUAAAUAGCAAAGCCAGAUUUUUGUUGUGGAUGGAUCCCAGCCCGAGACCACCAGAAGAUUUACUCUUUAUUACCUUGUGCCAAGCCACCUUAAAAAUGCCAUGAGAUGUUGAGGUUCCUUUCCAGAGAAAAGACCGGGUUAGAAAAGAGAUGACUUUAAUAAUACCCUUUGGCAUAGCAAAAACUGACAUGUAGAACAAAGGAAGAGAGCUUAAAACUGAUUUAAUUAGACAUAACCUUCCCGUCAUGCUCAAAAAAUUCCCUUUCCAUGUGCUUAGCUUUGCUCUGAUAGUGGACAACACUGGUUUCCAGGUAGAGAGUCUGCUGGGAUUGGCUCCAAGAGGUAGUCCAAGGUACCUGACCGGGAAAGUAUCACUACGACAGAAAACUGAGUUUGCCAGGCUAGAGGUGUAGUUGUUGUCCAAGUUGAUACCUAUUAGUGAGCUUUUAUAGAAAUUAACUUUCAAUCCGGAAAUGAUCUCAAACCAAUGAAGUAUCCUCUUGGCAUGUAGAAGAGAGGGAAAAUCAUUUGGCAGGAAAAUCAGAGAGUCAUCGGCAUAUUGCAAAUGAGUUAUGUAAUGUCCUGGAGCAGUCUGUAAGCCUUUGAAAUAACCUGAAGCGGAUGCCCUAUUGAAUAAAACUGUCAAUCCCUGAACUGCGAUGUCAAAUAGGAAAGGAGAGAGAGGGUCCCCUUGCCUGAGACCCCUCUCCAGACUAAAUUCUCUACUGGGGGAACCGUUUAUCAAGAUGGCUAAUUUAGAAGUGGAUAAACAUUCAAAGAUCAACUUCCUCCAGUGUGAGCCAAAACCCAUGUAUCCCAUGCUUGUGUCAAUAUGUUCCCACAAAAUUGAGUCAAAGGCUUUAUGGAAAUCUACCUUCAGUAAGAAGCCAUACUCCUUCUUGCUGCGCACACCAUGGACAACCUCAUUUGCUAUCAUGAACCCGUCUAAAAUCUGACGCCCAGCAAUGAAUGCAGACUGGUUAACACUGAUUACAUCUGUCAAGACACGUCUAAGUCUAGUGGACAGUAGCUUUGCCACUAUUUUAUAUAACCCAUGAAUCAAGCUUAUCGAACAAAAAUGUGAGAAUCUGCUCGGCCCCUUUGAUUUUGGAAUCAGAAUUAUAAAAGAAGAGCUAAUACCCUUUGGAAGUUUACCAGUUCUGAAAAAACUUUUAACCAACAUAAAAACCUCUGAGCUGAUCAUAUUCCAUACCUUUUUAUAGAAGGAGAAGGUGAAACCAUCGGGGCCAGGGGCUUUAGAACCAUCACAGUCCCACACAACUUGCUUAACUUCUUCCAUUGAAGGUGGUCUUUCUAGCUAAAUUGACUUUGCUUCUGAAAUUUUGGAGAACACCGAGCCUCCCAUUUCAAUUCCUUUACACGUUGGUUUCCGAAACAAGGAUGAGAAGAAGUUGACAGCGCCUUCUUUUAUAUCAUUUGAGGAGACUAGGUGACUACCAUUAUGAUCAAUCUUACUAAUGUAGUUGCGGCCUUUCCUUAGACUUGCUGAUAUGUGAAAAAAACGAGUGUUCUUAUCCCCAAUUUUACACCAGUUUUGACGAGAUUUUUGUCUCCAGAUAUCUUCAACCCUUCUGUUAACCUCCCAUAAAUCAGAGUUCAACCCCUGGAGCUUUGGUUUUUCAGUCUCAGACAAGGGACGCACUUCACUUAAGUUUUCAAGUGUUGUAAUGGAGUUCUGGAUGUCUGCAAGUUUUAGAUUCUGAUCCCUGAAAGUGGAUUUAUUCCAUUGUCUCAGCUUUUUUCCCAUGAUCCCCAGCUUCUUAAUCAGACUAAACUCACCUGGAAACUCCUUGCAGCUAUCAGACCAGAGGGCCUCAAAAUCUGUUAAGAAAGAAGGGUGCGACAGCCAGUAGUUUAUGAAACGGAACGGCUUCCACCCCCAGUCUACCUCAGGGCUCUGGAGGAGCAGCUGACAAUGAUCGGACAUCCCUCUAGGGUAGCGGCAAAGAGAUAGAGACGGGAACUGCAGCUGAAAUUCCGGGGAAGCAAAAGCUCUGUCAGUGCGGCUCAUAGACCCACCCCUAAACCAAGUGAACCGGUGCCCCUGCAUAUUGAAUUCAACCAGUUCACAGUCGGAUAUGAAUCUGUGGAAUGAAGUUGAACCUGAUAGAUUGAGGUUACCACUACUUCUCUCAUUAGCGUGUAGAGUUUCGUUGAAAUCGCUUAGCACCACCAGUGGUAGUUCAAAAGCAAACUUAAGAGUGGUGAUUUCUUCCCAUAGAUUAACACGUUCUUUCACUGAAUAUGCAGCGUAGACACUAACUAUCAUACAAUUAAAAGAAGAGGGAAUAUGCGUGCCACAUAGGCUGAUCCACUGCCCCCCAAAUUCUAUAGAGUUAACUUCAAAGACAGAGUUAUCCCACAUUGCUAUAAUUCCUCCUGAUUUCCCUACAGAUUCUAGAAAAGUCCAUUUGACAGUUGCAAUAUUCCACAGAUUUCUAAUAAAGGAGUCACAACAAUUAUUUUUCUUGGUUUCUAAAAGAAAACAGAUACCAACAUUAUUGUUUAUAAGCCUAUUCCGGAUGGAAUUUCGUUUGUGUGCCAUACCUAAACCACAGCUGUUCCAAGCAAAGAUAUUCAUAAAGAGAACAAAACCAAGGCAGACUACACUGAGCGGGGUAGAAAACUUACAACUGGUUAACUGAUGUCCACUCAUCUACUUCUCUUUCAAUGUUUCUCAUUAUUCCUUCUUCGUACCCUUUUAGUUCUUGCGGGUUUCCCAGACCUAGAGCCACAACAUCUUGUAUUAUUUCUUGAGUCUCCCUUUCACUGUCAAACCCAUUGUCUUGAUGCUUCAUACAUGUGAUUUGAAACCGAAUAUUUCCUUGUUGGAUUCCUAAGUUUAAGGAGUCUGAAGAAUCACAAUCCUCCAUCGUGUUAGCAACACUACCACUAGCUUGCAGCAACUUCAGUUUUCUUAUUUUGUGGCUAUUCCCAUUUGCGUUUUCAUUGGUCGCGUCUGCAGAGGUUUGUGGGCUGCUUUGAGGGUUCAACAGGGGUGGUAGAUGGAGAUGCUUGCCAUUGGUUUCAUCAUCCAUGGAGGCAUAGUUAUGGUUCUUUCCAACGCCGGAUGACUCGAUAACAGGGGAUGACAUGGUGCCUUGUAGAGGUGUGUUAUUUUGGGUGCUGGUUACCUUCAUUGCAAGAAGGUUGGGUGCUCCAUCAGAAAUAUGAGCUGCAAACGAUCUAACUUUCAUCAUAUUCUUCCUUUUGCUGAAUGAAGAUUUAGGUGCAAGCCCUCUAGUUCUUCUAAGCUUCUUAUCUUUUAUUUUUCCUUCCAACUCCAUUUCCACUACUUCUUGUGGUUCUGCCAGGUCACGUAUGAAUGCAGAGAAAGAUUGCUGAUGUGUAUUCUGGCUCUGAUUUUGGUCUAGUAUCAUGUGUCUCGUUAGUUUUGGGGUAGGCCUUAUAACCUGGGCUGAGGAGGCUUUAGUGUGUGUUUGUUUUUUAUCGAGGCCCACUCUUGAAAAGGAUACUGCUGAGUCAUCUGGGCUGCUGUAGCUGGUUUCUGCCACUUGUAUUUUUUCCCUAAUGGUGUCAUAGCAUGGCUCUAUAGAGGACGAUUGGGAUUGGUAAGAGGCGGUGUGUAGUUGUUGGUUUUUUGUCUGUAGCUUGUGUGUUUCCUUAGUUUCAGGAAAAAGGCAGAAGGUUUUGUAUGUUGUGUCAGAUUGGUCUAGGUUGCUGGGUAAUUCAGUGUACCUUGUGCAGAGAAUGAGAGAGGGGUCAUUUUGCAUGUCCUUGUCUUGUUGCUCUGGUGAGGUCCAGUCAGCUUCUGGUUCAUUUAUACUGGCCGACGAAAACUCUUCUGGAGGUGUAAUUUUACUGCAUGUCUCUUCAUCUGAUUCUUCAGUGCCUGAUGUAUCCAUUGAGUAUUUAAUUAUGGUAAGCAGGGGGCUAAAACCGGGCUUCAUUUCCAUGACUGAUAUAUCAAAUUCCUCUCCGUCUAGAAUCAUUGAAAGCUGCUUGUUUAAAGUCGUGAAAGAGGUUGUGCUCAGAAGCACCUUGACUCCCAUAAGUGAACCUUGACUCACACUUGUAAUGUCGUAACCAAUCAUCUUGCCUACACCUUCUACCAUGAAUUCAAUACAUCUGCGGUUCCAUGCAAUCAGAGGAAGUCCCAGAAUAGACACCCAAGCAAAUCUGUUUACUGCUUUUACUUCCCUCUUCCAUGGUUUGAUACUAGAGAAGUAGUUUGCCAAGGCAGAGCAACUGUUUAUUAAUUCUUUCUCCAUGGUCUCUUUGUCUGUAAAGGUGAUAACUGUUUGGCUUGCUCCAAGGAAGCGAAAUCCAAUUGCCUUCUUAACAGUUUUCAAAACCAUAUGCUCCAAUUGUGCAUAGUCCACUUCUAUGGCUAUAGAACCGACUAAACUUCUCAAUAGCCAUUCCUUGUCAUCCUGUGUAGACUCAUACACCACAGUCUUCUUUGAUGGUUGUUGGACUAAAAGAGCUUCAACAAAGGUCCUGUUGUCUCUAAGGGCUAGUUUGGGCGAGAUUUUGGUUUCUGGCUUUGUGGUGAGGGCUGUCUUUUCCCUGGAAUCUGAAGGUGUUUGAAAUCGUGCUAGGUUUGCACGAAUUUUGAAAGAGUCAAACCAUAUAAGGUUCAAUAUAUCACAAAGGUCUGUAGCUUCUAAAUGGGAGAAGAAAGUUACAAAACCAAACCGUCUCCCUAUUUUUGUUUUUUUCCUGGAAACAAAGAGGUUGGUGACAAGACUAAUCUUUGAAAAAGCUUUUUUGAGAUCUUGGUAAUCAAGCCAAGACGGGAAACGUUCAAAAUAAAACUUAGUAGAAACAGAGGGAGUGGGAGUUGUGUUAGGUAAGUGUUUGUUGUUUUGGCUGUUGUUUGUGUAACACAUAGGUUGCAAAAAUUUCAGGGUGGCAGGGUGAAGAGGGGGGUGUUGUGUAUGUUUAAGAGGGACGUUUGCAGGUGUUUGUGGGGUUGGAUUGUAAGAGGGAGGUUUGAAGGAGGUUACUAAGACCUGGGUUGCAGAGGAGGGGAUGAUAGACAAAAGGGGGAGUGUUUUGGUUGGGAGCAUCGUUGCAGGGGAGGGGAUGAUAGACAGAUAUGACUACAGCAGCUUCAAAAUGGACUCGGAACAGUGCUGGAAUUUCUGGUCGUCGCCGAUAAUGUGAAAAAUAAGGGGAUCGGAUAGAUCUCCUCCUUUCUUCCUUUCCUGUGCCAGCUGUGUCAUCGAUGGAGACCUGAAAAAGAAAAGACGCAGCAACAAGUUUUGGUUUCCUUUCCUUCUCGUUUUUUGAUCUGCUCCUCUCCCUACUGAUUUGUAUGUUUUUGUUUUCUACUUCUCUGUUUCAGGUAGCCAGUGGGAAGACCAAGAGGCCGCUGUCGGGACUGGUUUUUUGCUAGGUCGGGUCGCGGUGGAGGGAAGAAUGGUUGAACUGCUGGUGAUAUUUUUGGUCGUGGCUGAGAGAGGAAGAGGCUAUGGUCAAUGGUUUCAGGUUGGAAGUGGAGGAGGAGCUAGAAGAACAAGGCGGACAGAUCCGGGGUUUAUGAGGAAGUGGUGGCCGGAUAUCGAAUUCUUCUUAUCUCAUCUAUGCCAGUAGUUGUUGGAUCUUGAGGAGGAGGAACUUGAUCUUGCUUCUGUGAGCAGGCAUGAAACAAAAUUUAUCUCACCUUUAUGCAUCUUGAGGAAACGAGGAGGGAGAAGACAUCGUCCGGCCAGAGCUAAAAGAAAUACAUUCUUUUCUCAUCAAUCACUCCGUAUUAUUCUUUUUUAUAUUUAUAAAAACAGAAAAAGGGAUAAAUUGGGGGAAUGAAAUGAAAUGAAAGGGAUUGGGUUAUAAAUAAAUUAAAAAUAUAUUUAAAAAAUAAUUUUUAAAUCACCACAUUAAAAUUAUUAAAAAAUAUCUAAAAAAUAUUAAUUUAAUAUUUUUAAUGCGAAAAUCAUUUUGAAACAAUGCCAAAUAUAUGUUAGAGAAUAAUAUAAAUCAUAUUGUGAGACCUUAACUAACAACUUAAGCUAUUGGGUUGAUAUGAUUCUUUGACAUGGUAUCAGAGCUUUAAUGACCAAGCGGUCACGAGUUCAAAUCUCAUUAUUCCUAUUUAUUUGAUAAAAAUUAAGCACAAGAUAAUGUGGGUAUGUGCAAGUUUCAAGUUUAAAAGGCUUUAACUUAAAGGGAUGUCUUAGAGAAUAAUAUAAAUCUUAUCGUGGGACCCUUACCUAACAGUUUAAGCUAUUGGGUUGAAAUGAUUUUUUGACACUUAACUAGAAGAUACAUUUUAAAAUAAAUUAAAAUACAAGAAAGGUGAAAUCUAAAAUUGAAAGUACAUGAAUUAAGUCUUAAAUGACCUAGAAUUCAGAAGAAGAAAAAAAGGCCAAUUAACCUUGUAAAUAAUAUUAACAUAUUGUUCUUUAUGCUUUUAUAUUAAUAGAAUCUAAAAUACUGUGAUAAUUAAAUUUAUUUAUACCUAAGUAAUAUUGAAAAUAUUUUUAUAUUGUUAAAGUUAGUGCUAUUAUUAUGAUUAUAAUAACAAUUAUAAUUACCCUAUUCACAAAAACAAUAUUAUUAUCAUAGUAAAAAAAUACAUUUAAAAUGACUAGUACGAUAGUUUUAACCCCAUACUCAAAUUAAAUAUUAUCUAAAUAAAAAGCUACUUAUUUAUUUAUUAAUUAUUGUUUUAUAUUAAAAUAAACUAUAAAAAUUACACAAUCUAAACAUUUUAAGAGACAUUAUAAAGUUCUAUUGAUUUAAAAUAAUUAAUAAACUACACUUUUAAUGCAAAUCAUGCAAAUCAUGUUUUAUUUUUAAAAGUUGAUUUCAUCAGUAAACAAGUUUUUUCUUCUUUUUAAUACACACAUGACAUUACCAUAUUAAUUAUCUACAUAAAAAUACUACAAAUACAAAAUUCUCUUAUUUUUAUUGCACUGGUUCACAGAAGUGAAUUGGGUGUGCUUGUUAGGUGUAAUAAAAGUAAGUGUACAAAAUUUAAAUGCAUGCCACAGAAGUCAAAAAUAAAGAAAUAAAAUUAUUUCCUAUGGCUUUGGUUUGUCAAAUAGGUAGAAGAUUAGAUUUUUAACCUUUAAAAAAAAAUGCAACACUUUUAACCUUUAAAAAAUGCACAGAUAUUAGAAAGUAAAAACAUUAAUGUAUAUUGCAUGAAACACUUUUAAAAUUUUAAGAUGAUGAUAUAUUGAACAAUAUCUUUAUUUAAAAAAAAAUAUUAAGAAGGCAACACACCGGAUCGACCCGAACUAACCAUAUCGUGUUUAUAUCUAAACAAUUAAUAUAAUCUAAUUAUAAACAAAAUUUCUAUUAAAAAAAACUAAAUUUAACAAAGAAAUGACAAAUAAAAAUACCCGAGAUAAUCUGAUUCAUUUUUAAAAUUAGUAAAAAAUCCUAUAGAAAAUAAAUAAAAAAUAAUAGAGCUUAAUCUUCAAUUCAAUAAAAUAUUAAAGGAUGAAACUAAACAAAAUAUUAGAAAUAAAAACAUUAACGCCGAUCUAUUCAAUGCUGGAAUCAAGUCUGCUAUUAAUGUGGGUAUUUCAGUCUCCAGAGUAAGAUCCGCAGAUCUGCCUCCUAGCAUUGAUAGUAAUUGAUCGAAUUCUUACUCUGGUUUGAGAAGCUUUUCAGUUUCCCUUAUCUCUCGUGUGAACUACCAUGAAAAAAGAAAUAAAAUAAAAAUAAACUCGGGUAAAUUUUCUAAACCUAGGUUAACCUUUAAAAUUCACAAUCUAUUAAAUCUAGGACUCGAACUCAAACAAGAAACCCAAUUCAGUCCUAAGGAUGAAAUAAAACAAAAACAUCAAUUUAGAAAAUUUACCAAACAAAAAAAUAGCAAUAAAAAAUGACGGAGAAUGAAAUUAUAAAAAAAAAUCAAUUUUAAAACUAAUCUCAAAUAAAAUAAAUAUAAAUCAAAAUAAUGGGGAUCAAAACAAACAAAUUAAAACAACAAAUGAGGAUGCAAUUGAAUACAUAUUUCAAUUCUAUACAAUAAUUCAAAUAAAAAAAAUCAAUCGAAAGAACAAAAACCAAAUUUGAAGAAAACACAAAUUCAAUGGCUGCUGUGAAAUUUUGAAAGGUUAGGCAUAAAAAUCAAGGAGGGGAGAGAAAGGAAAAAAAAACCAACUGACAUCAAAUUGGAGGGAAUUACGCCACACACACCUUCUAGAAAGUUUAACCCUACCGUGAUGAAUCAAAAAACACCAAGGAAGCCUUUUUUGAUCGCCGUAAGCCACCACACUCAUCACUUCAACAUGGCAGAGUGACUUACUCGUUUGCACAUUUAAUGCACGUACCAGCCACUUUUUUUCUUUACAUUUAUUAAAAUACCAAAUUGUCUCUUAAACCACAUGAUACUAAUAAAAAAAUGAAACCAAAAUGAAAGUAUAAAUAAGCCUUUGCAGACAAGGUAAGAAAAUUUUGAUUCAAAGGGUAAUACAGUUAUUUUAUUGUUUUUUGAAAAGUGAAAUUUUGAAAAAGCCCAUUAACACAAUUAAAGUAAUUUUUUUGCUUUCAAUGGAAACUAAAUAAUUAUAUUUUCCAAAAAGAAUUAAAAAGACCUAAUGAUUCCAAUCAAUUUCAUAAUGUCUAAUGGACAAGUAAAAAAACAAUAACAACCCCGAGUGCAGGGCCAUUGAGUUUUCUUUUAAAGGGAAAAAAACAUUAUUUUGUUGUUCCAAUCCACAAUAAAUCACACCUUAUCUAUGAUACUCUUUCCACAUCCUUUAAGUUUUUGUUAAUAUUUAAGAGUAAGGAAAAAAAAUGUUUUCUCUCUCAUUUCCUUUAGUAAUCAACUAUGUCCUUGGCUUGCACUACACCACGGGUUGGAUUAUUCUUUCCAACCGUAAAAAAAAUAUAAAGACAUUAGUAAUGUGUUUUCUUGUAUAAAAUAAUCAACCAUGAACCUAAAAUCUGAUGCAUGUUGGACAACACACUUUUAAAAUAUUGAAAUGGUCAGAUAUUGCUUGAAAUAUUUUUUUAAGAAAAAUAUUAAAAGGAUAACAUAUUUGAUCGACUAAUAUCAAUCUUUGUUAGCUUGAAAAUACUUCCGACCUAUGUCAUGGAUCGUGAUAAACCUAUAAUAAUCAGAUAAAAAAAAUAGAAAGCCCAAUUCCAAUCAACCAAAUAUUGAAGAAUAAAAAUUAAAAAAAAAUGAUUUAAAAAAAAACAUAAAAAAGCGAUUUGAGUAAAUCUAGGUACAUAUGUCAAAUCCACGACCCGAGUCAUGAGAAUGACAUUACUUUAUAAAAAACAAAUAAAAAAUACAAAAGCUAGUUCUUAACCAAUUCAUCAUCAACAAAAAAACUAUUUUUUAAAAAAAAAGCAACGAAAACAACAACUUGGGUUAACCCCCAAACCCGCGACAUAGAUCAUGAGACCGAAAUAACUUCACAUAAAAUAAUCUAAAAAAAAGAUUACUUUUUUUAAAAAAACUUAAGCUAUAAAAAGAUUUAUCCCAUCAAAAACUAAAAAAUAAAAUUUAUUGGUGUAUAAUUUAAAAGAAAAUUCUUCAAUUUUAUUUAAAAGAAGUUUUCAUAAAACAAUUAAAGGAAAGCCUUUAAAAAAAAAACCUAGGAGUCAAAUGUGCUUGUAUGGGCAAGCUUGUAUGCCUACCUAUUUUUUUUUUAUUACUAGAUCAUGAGACCGCAACAUAGAUCAUGAGACCACGACAUAGAUCUUUAUAAAUUACUAGACAAAGCGUUGUCUCUAGUUCGGUUUCUGGCCACUUCUAGUGCCCAGAAAGUUGAGUUCCAUGUUUUAGCCUAAACCAUUUUUUAACUUUGUUUUUUACCCAAAAAGCAUUUGUCACCUAAAUAGACCCAUUUGUGGCUUAAAUUAGUAAAAAAUGUGUUUAAAAAUAAAAAAUCAACUUUUCGAGCCUAGAUCUACCAUUUCAUGUAAGAUGAAAGCCAAAUAAGACUCCAUUAAAACUCUUUUCAUCAAAAGAAACUCGUUGACACCAAAAUCGACUAUUUUAGUAGCUAAAAUCAAUAUCAGCUGAUAGUUUUCUCUUGCCUCAAUAAAAAUCUGACAACUCCUCUCAUCUCUCUAAACACAAGACUUAAAAGUAAGAAAAAUAGACUUUGAGAACAAAAGUAAAUUUAUGAAAACUAAAGGGAUUGAAAGCGUUUAAUUGAAAAAUAUAAGGACCAAACUUAACUUUUCAUGUCAGCUUUGAAAGUGCCAUCUAAUUUCUAUGUCGUUGUCACUUUAAUUCAUCACCUUUCAGAGUUGUCCUUUCUUUCUUAAUGAAUUAGAAGCAAUUAGUCAUCAAUUUUGAUAACCAAAAAAUUAUUUUAAUCCAUAAUGAAUUGUAAGAGGUUGCAUGGUUUGUUCAACUCAGUGAAAACAUCACAAUGUGUCUCUUUGUAAUUUUCAGGGGAAUCUUUGAACCAACAAUAUCUAAUUUAUUUUGCACAUAAUGCAUAGCGAUAAUGUACCAUAUAUCAUCUCUUGGUAGCUCCAUAAACAUUCAACUCAAUCCAUAACAAGUUAUUUAUAAAAUCUAGAAAAUUUAUUUUAAAAAAUAUGUAUUAAUAGAGAAUACAACAUUAGAUAAAUAGGAAUGAAAAGGCCUACCUCUUUUGCAUAUAAAAAUGAAAUGGUGACCUCAUAGACUUUUGAAAAUCUUUUUCCCUUAUUCACUUUUGGGUUAUGUUAUUUGCAUUAAGGUAUAUAAAUACAUGUAUAUCAUAUGAUUACCGAAACUGACUAAAGGUUUGAGUCCUGUAUUAACUCAUGACUUACCGGGUUAAUUUAAUUUAAUUAUGAAAUAAUGUUUUUUGGAUAAAAACAAUUUAAAAAAAUUAUUUAGAAUUGACAUGACCUAGUAAAUCUAGUUGUAGAUUGGCUUGCUAGGUUACUCGAGUUUGACUAUAGUAAUGUUCAAAAAAGUUUAAAAGGAAAGCCUUUCAAGGCCAAGCUCCGAAUCGACAUAUCAUCGAAUCGACCUGUUAGGCUAGGCUUAUUGUGUUCGAGAAUAAUAUAAAUCAUAUUUUGGGAUCGUAUAUAAUUAUUUAAACUUUUGAACCUUGUUAACCAAGUGAUCAUGAGUUUAGAUUUUGAUAUUUCAUUUACCAAUUUAAAUGUUUGGAUUGAUAUCAUAAUUUAAGAUAUUAACAAUGGAAUAUCCAUGAGCAAAGAAAGUUUGACAAAAAAUUAUAGACUUUGUAUGUAAAUCUCUCCAACAAAUUCUAGAUCAUGCGCUCAAUUUAUACGCAAACCAUGCCAUAUAUGCUAUAUAUAAAUGAAGUUACAGCAAAAGGGGGGAGUUGAAGCGUUCAAAGUUCAAAAUGAAGUAUCGGUGCAAUUCUGCUUAGACAAUUAAAGAUACAUAAGCAUAGAUUAAGAAAAUUCGGACAUAAAUCAGAACAAUAUUUUACUUUGAUAGGAACUCAUAUUUGAUGAUUUAGAUUCUAAUUCAUUAACAUUGUUUGAGCAAAGUAAAAAAAAUAUGUUUAUUCAGCAGUAGCACUUACAACACUCAAGUCCACAGAGAGAUCAAAAGUUUGUAUCAAAACAAAAACCAGAUUGUAAGUUGAUUGCUGCAUAGAAGCAAGGUUUAUACAUCUGAAAAUAACCUAAAUUAUUACUUUGUAUCUUAAUAUCUUUAAUUAUAGUUUUUGCAUAGGUUGGUCAAGACCAAGAGGGUGUUUGAAAGUGUGGCAGCGGUUGCUUUUCAAAGUAUUUUUCACUCGGAAAUGCUUCAAAAUAAUAUUUAUUAUUUUUUAAAAAUAAUUUUUGAUAUCAGCACAUCAAAAAAAUAAAAAAACAUUUAAAAAUUUUAAGAAACAAAUUUCAAAUUUUACCCAAUCUCAUUUGAAACGCAAUACCAAAAGGGGCUAAAGUGAUCUAUACUAAAGGACCAGCCCAGUUCUAGAUUGUCUAUAUUUUUCAGCUAUGAAAAUAGUAUGUCAAUACAAUUCUCUCUCUCUUUCUAAACCAUUUUAAUCUUCAUGCCAUGUAUUUACCUUGCUAAUUGUUCCUCAAUCUUAAUGCUAAGCAUUGAUCUUGGUAAUUGUUCAUCAAGGAAAAUUGCAAUUAUUUAAGCACAAAGACUCUUAAUAUUGUCAAAUACAUAUCUCGACCAAAAUUAAAAAAAAAAUAUUGUUCUCUAUAAUUCAACUCAAGAAUUCUAAGACACUUACCUUUCCAGUUAUCUUACUGUACAUGGCAAUCACAUCUUGUACUGUGGUCUCAAAGUGAGUCGUUGUGUCAUAGCUCUGCAAAGAUCAUAUUAAGAUCUUAAUCAAUAUUGUUGAAUUAUUUAGGGAAAAGGUGGAAUUUAGAAAGCUAGACCACAAGCUUGUUAGUAGAGUUACAGGGAGACUUGAAAAAGGUUUCCCUUUUGAGCUACUCUAUAAGAAUCUAUAAUUGCUAUGUAGAUGAAAACUCCAGUCAAUCUUAUCACAAGGGUAAGAAAAUACAUGUAUAAAUGGCAUGUAGACUUAUAACUUACAGUAUAAAUGAAGCAAUUGUCAUCUUCCUCAUUGUUUGCAGGCACAUAUUUGUCUUAAAUAUCAUAGAAAAUCUUAUUUACUAGACUAAGCAAGUCAAUUCCUAGCUUCAGUUCCGUCUCAGGGUUAUCUAUCUCAGUUUCAGUUGAAACAAAAGUAAUGUAUUUCCUUUUUGGAGCAACAUUGUGAGCAUAUGAACAACAGAAGAGGUACCUGGAGAAGCAAUGUGAAAGUUUACAAACAAAUCUUCAAAUAUAUCCAGAAUUGAAUAUAUCAAGACCACAAAUUUUAACCAUUUCUUUUCUAUCCAUCUUAAUAAUGCAUUUAAAAACAUGCAGUUGAUCAAAGGGCAUUGUAAUAUGCAUUUGAAGGCUUAUAUGAGAGCCUUUAGGGUUUUAUCUGCACAAAUAAAAGUAAACGUAAAUGUCUGAUUUGCAUCAAAGUUACUUCUGUGGCAGAAUAACUUGCGCAGAGUGAGAAUCACUAGUGUCAGGAAUAGGAUGGCUCAUUAUACAAAUAGCAUGAGCAACCAUUCCAACUUUCUUCACAUAUGGCAUUACAACAAUGACAGAUAAAAGGUGAUUAACAUAGUUAAUGCCCAUUUUAGCAAACGAAUACAGUGAAGCAAGAGACUGAUCUCGAAAUUGUUUAAUGCUACCUUGUUUGGCAAAUAGGAUGAGUUACAAACAACUUUCUUGCAUCUAGUAGUUUCUCCUUCAGAAAUCACGCCAAUGACUUUUCUAUUUUUAUCGAACUCUAUCUGUUAAUAUAUAACAAGACUUAUGAGAAUCAAGUAGUUUGACAACAGAGAGCAAGCAACAUAUCAAGAAUCACAGAUUCAUAUGCUAAAGAAGAAGUUAUGGAUACAAGUUGUUAUCGCAAUUUUACCUUAUAUUCUGGCUUGUUGAGUAUGUAAGUGCCACCAUAUAUUGCACUUAAGCGUGCAAAUGACUGACAAAAUACCAAGACAUAUUAGAGCAACUUAUAUUCACCCCUUAACUCUGUAAAAACACCAUGGACUUAAACAAACCUGAGGUAAUUCUACCAGUCCAUAGAGUGGAUAGAUAUAAGGUGAUCCUCCUUGGAAACGCGCGAAUGACUCUGCAUAAAGCUUUACGGAAAAAACAACAGAAUAACUUUAAAAUUACUUUUUUUUUUAACCAUCAAAGACAAUAAGAGAACAAGAUUUCAAUAAAUUGCAAGUGCACCUUCACUCUCUUCACAAAAUCCAAAGCUGGCUAAUCCAAGUAAUUAUCAUCAAGAUGAAGAGCUAGUGCAUGGCCGAUAAAGUUAAUCAUAUCAUUUUUUAGACCAUAUUUUCUACAUGAAACAUGAUUAACAAGCAUUAAUCUAAUAGUUAAAAUUUGAUCAGCUAGCUCUCAAGAACACAAAAUAUACAUUAAGGUGAAUGAAUUCAUUCAAGUGUUUAAUCAAUAGAUGAUGUGAUCUUAAACUAGACUGAAAUUUCUAUAAAUUAAAGAGAAAUGUUAAUCAAACAUAUACGCGAUAACCUCUCUUGCUGUAACUUUGGUCAAGUCCAGACCCUCAUAAGACUUGGGAUCAUUGUCCUCGUAAUCUUGGACAUAAAUGAAAAACUUUCGAGCACGACAUUUCUCAAACAAUCCCAUCAAUGGCAAUUUUAGUGCUUCUAUAUCAGUUGCUGGAACUUUAUGGAUCUGAAAAUCAAAAUUAAUUCUUUUAUUUUUUCACUAAACAAUAAUAUUUUUUGUUCUAGAUUUUAUAUUACGCAAAUGUGCUCUACCUUCCCUUUAUUGUACACAAAAGUACCAUUAACAGACUUAAAAUUGAGACACUUGGUAACAUAUGUGUGUAUCAGAACACGAACCAAACCAUCAUUGACGAUAAUAAACUAGAAUAACAAAUUAAAAAAAAAACAAUGUAAACACUUAAUGCAUGUUAUCAGUUAACAACGAGAUCAUAAAAUUCCAUACAAACUACCUUAGGUAUCAUGUCAAUAUUGUACUCCUUACUUGCACCUAGGCUCUCUGGAGGCUGGUUACUCCCUUUGAAACACUUCCAUAACUACAAUCAUGAAAAGGGUUAGGGAAAAAACCAAAUAAAAUUUUUGAAAAGAUAGUAGACAAGAAAAUCGAAAGUAUUUUACAACAUGAACAUAAGAGAAUACCUGAUUAAGAUUAAGAGAUGUUGAUUCUCCUUCAUAAUAGUCAUUACGGUCCAUAUGCAGUACCUGUAUCAAACGAAGAUUCAAUUGGAUUAUUAAAGAAAAAUCAAAAUAUUAAUUCAAACUAAAUUAUAUAGAUAACUUAAGGAAAAACACAUGCUUUUUUCAAACCCCAAGACUCCCAAAAUCUAAUGUGUUUCAACGUUCAUCGAUGGAGAGUACAAUGAGAACAAUUGACAACCCUUUAUACCUUCAAAUAUUAGAGAAUAAUUUUAUAAAUUAUAAAUAGAACACCCACACAUUUAACUAUUGAUACAUUUCCAUCAAAUCUAAAUUAUAAACAUGAAAUGCAAGAACAAAAACAAAGAAAAAGACCAAAAAAAAUCACACAAAAAAUAGAUAUUUCCUGAUUAUGUGGCAUCACAAAUAAAAAAAAACUUCAUAAAUUCAAAAGAUGAGAUCAAUUUAAAAAAUAUCAAAACACAUUGUUUUUUUUUCAUCCUCAUAAUUCAUAAAUUCUGAAGCUAUAAAUAGUAGAGUAUUUCUUGUUCUUCAGCCUAUUGAAAACAGAAUUCAAUCCCAAAUUCAUAUUUGUCAAUAGUAACUACACAUUACUUCAAAUGCAAGAUAUUGAUUUUAUCACAAAGAUAAAAAAAUUACUUAGCAUCCAAAUGUUACUAGCCAUAACCUUAAAACAUCAGUGUUAUGCGCUUAUAAUAACAAAGAUAUUUUUUUUUAAAAAAAAAAGAGAAUUACUUUGAGUCCAUCAACAACAAAAAAAAGACCACUGAGAAUGCAUUCUUUGAGACCGGUUCCUAGAACAAUCACAUCAUACUCUUCAUCCAUGGUAACAAAAUCCAACUUAGAAACAAACCCUUUUGAAGAUUUGAUAGAUACAAGGAAGGAAUGAAGAGAUUUUUUUUUUUUUUUACAAAAUAAGGAGAAAUAUUGGAGAUAAUGAAAAGAGAAAAGUCAAGUUUUCUAUAAAUAUUUUUGUUUGUUUGAUUUAGAGCAAGUCUUUAGUGGGAAUCAACAACAAUAACGCACAAAGAAACAUUAAACGGGUGAUUACCAAAAACCAGGGAAUCGUUAGGAAAUGUACGUUACCAUGUGCCAACAUGCAUUUCUAGACAUUAUAUUUUCUUUUAACCUAAUUUAACGUGGGAUGUUAAUCUCUCUAGUUUGCAGGAAAAACAAUAUUUUUUUAGUGUUUUCUCUUUUAAUAUUUUAUUUCAAGAGAUUUUACGGUGCUCAAGCAUGACAUCAUAUUAGUAACUCAAUGAAAUUCAUUUUGAAGAAAAACACAAACACAAGGGGGGAGAUAAAAACACAAACACGGGGGGGGGGGGAGAAAAAUUCAUAGCUCACUAAAAGUGAUAAGAUGAUCAUAUUAGUUAUUCAGAUACAAGUAGGAGAGAGAAAUAAUAUAUGGAGAUAUUUUUAUUAUUUUUUAUGGAUCAUAAAUUUUAUUUUAUCUCCCACAUGUGCUAGUCUUUUUCUUCAAAGAAUGUUUCAUUGAAUAACUACUACUAGAAUACCACUAAUUACAACCUGAGCACAAUAAAAUUUUAAAUUUUAUGUUUUGUAUACUAGCUUAUCUCUAUGAAAUUUUGUUUUACCCAAAUAAAUUUUACUUUGAAAACCUAAAUCAAGAUCAUUGCAUAAAAAAAUGAAAACUCAAGUUUUUAAUUAAAUUUUUCGCUAAAAGACAAGUUGAAUUGUUGUGGAAAAGAAUUUUUUUGGGACAAUAAAUAAUUCUUUAUUUUUUUAUGGAUUGAAUUUUGUAGUGAUUUGAAUUGUGAUAAAGGUUCUUAAUGCUACAAUCAACAUUUUGUGAAAUUAUAUGCUUAUGAAUUUAUUAUGAACAAUAAACCGACUUUUUGAGCAGUGAUGGAGGAGAUCAAAACGUAGAUUUGGAGUUGAAACUUUCUCCACCAGCAACAUAACCAGUGAUGGAAGGUUUCUAAGUGGGGGAAAAAAAUAGAGAGAAAUAAAUGAAAAAGAAUAAAAAUUAAAAAUAAAUAAUUUUGAAGCGCAUGAUUUGUACGUAACGGGAUUGUGAGUUUUUUUAUUGCACGGCUUUUGAUAGGAGAAGACUAGUUUUUAGCAGGUUGACUAAUGAAAAGCUCUUUUUUUUUUUUCGAUCUGGGUAAAUUUCUUUAUUUUUUAGCAGGUUCACAGAAUAAAUUUCUUUAUUUUUAUCUGGAUGAACUUAGGGGUAAUUACAAAACACUCUUGUAGAGAAAAAUAUAUUAAAAAAAUUAUUAAAAUAUUUUUUAUCAAUAAAACCUUGAAAAAAUUUACAAAAUUAACAUUUGAACUUUUUAAUAUUAAGCCCUGUUUGUUUGCUGGAAAGUAGUUUUCUUUUGAAAAGUGAAUUCCGGGAAAGUGAAUUAUUUUCCGAUGUUUGGUAGUGUAAUGGAAAACACUUUCCAGUCUUUGGUUAUAUCAUGAAAAAUGAACUGAAAAAUAACUUAUUAAUGUUUUAUUUUCUUCAAGUUUAUUAAAAUAAUGACAAACAAAUCUUACAAAUUAAAAAGUUGAAUGAGAAUGAAAUUGAAAAAAAAAUAAUUUCAUAAAUUAUCUUAAAUAAAAUAAAUAAUAAUCAAAAUAAUAGAGAUCAAAUCUAAAAAAUAAAAAAAUUAAAAGAUGAAGAAAUUAAAAUAAUAAUAAUUAACAUUUCAUAAAUUAUUUCAAAUAAAAUAAGUAACAAUCAUAAGAAUGAGGACCAAAUUUGAUGGAUAAAAAAUUUCAAUUAAAAAAUGAUAAGGGAAAAGUAAAUAAUAAUUAUAAAAAUUAAAUUCUAAGGGAUGAAAUUGAAAAACAAAUAUUCAAAACAAAAUAUAUAUAGCAAUCAAAAGUUUAAGGACCAAAUUUGAUAUAAUCAACAAAUAAUAUGACAUAUCUAAAUUUUUCACAACUUCCAAAAAGUGUUUUCCGCCUAAAAUAAAAGGAAAACACUUUCCUGGAAACCGAGCCAAAUUUUUCUUUGACUAAUGACAAACAAACACAUGAAAGUUUGAAAAGUGGUUUUUCAAAAACCAGUUUCCGAGAAACAAACACAACUUUCCGAGAAACAAACACAACAUAAAUCUUUAUUAAUGGAAAAGUGGCUUCAUUUUCAAAAUCUCAUAAAAUUGAAGUGGAAAAGGUUUAAUUUCAAAAUAUAAAAAUAUAAAAUAAAUAAAUUCAUCUUGAACAAAUUAAUACCCCUAAGGUUUUGCUCAAAGUCCUUGCAAUCAAAAAAAGAUUAAAAAAAAUAGAAAAUAUUUUUCAAUAAAAGCAUAAACAAACCCAUUAUAGAGUUGAAUUUACAAAUCAUAUGCUUUUAAAUAUGAGUACACAUUAAAAGUGCAGCCUUUAAUUUAUAGAGUACACAUUAUAGAGUUGAUAUAGAGAUUUGUGUAGUUACUAUUGACAAAUAUAAACUUGGUUUUUAAUAAUCACCCGUUUAAUGUUUCUUUAUGCGUUAUUAUUGUUGAUUCCCACUACAGACUUGCUCUAAAUCAAACAAACAAAUAUAUUUAUAAAAAACUUGACCUUUCUUUUUUCAUUAUCUCCAAUAUUUCUCCUUAAUUUGUAAAAAAAAUAAUAAUAAUCUCUUCAUUCCUUCCUCGUAUCUAUCAAAUCUUCAAAAGGGUUUGUUUCUAAGUUGGAUUUUGUUACCAUGGAUGAAGAGUAUGAUGUGACUAUUCCAGGAACCGGUCUCAAGGAAUGCAUUCUCAGUAUAACACUAAUGUUCUUUAUUCUCCUCAUCAUCACCUUUAGCAGUUAAAGAUUAUCUUCUGCUUGCUUUCAAAAUAGGGCAUAAAUGCAAAGAAUCUCACUGAUAAAAAGUCUUGUGGAUGCAUAUUCCUGUCCUCUCCCCCACUGAAAUUGAAAUAAAAUUAAGCAAGACAUGGCAUGGCAGCUUCAACUCAAGCUAAAUUCGUAUAUAUUACUACAUGUUUCAACAGCUCCACCUCAUUUCCUUUACCUUAAGGAAAUAUGGGAACCCUUGAUUCAUAAAUGCAUAUAUACACAACCACACAUGAUCUGUAUCUUAAACCCUGUGAAUUUCCUGAAUCAACAAGCAAAUAUUAACCACGUACAAGCCAAGAUGAAGGUUUUAUUUGAAAAAUAUAACGACUGCAAAUCCAUUAAAUUUUGUUGGAAAAUCCUCCAUCUUUCGGAUUCAAUCAGGAAAAGGUAACCUGCAAGACAAUUUCGGAGUUGCAUUCAGACUCCUGGUUAAUUUCCU
RNAcentral lists this long non-coding RNA (36352 nucleotides) under Populus trichocarpa (black cottonwood). Its description in RNAcentral is "long non-coding RNA (PTRI_LNC003778)". The record is from RNAcentral. Lineage: Eukaryota; Viridiplantae; Streptophyta; Magnoliopsida; Malpighiales; Salicaceae.